Molecule: ribosomal RNA, 1391 nt
Filed under: metagenome
Description: bacterial SSU rRNA
Rfam family: Bacterial small subunit ribosomal RNA
Source: RNAcentral
AGAGUUUGAUCAUGGCUCAGAUUGAACGCUGGCGGCAGGCCUAACACAUGCAAGUCGAGCGGAUGAAGGGAGCUUGCUCCUGGAUUCAGCGGCGGACGGGUGAGUAAUGCCUAGGAAUCUGCCUGGUAGUGGGGGAUAACGUCCGGAAACGGGCGCUAAUACCGCAUAUGUCCUGAGGGAGAAAGUGGGGGAUCUUCGGACCUCACGCUAUCAGAUGAGCCUAGGUCGGAUUAGCUAGUUGGUGGGGUAAAGGCCUACCAAGGCGACGAUCCGUAACUGGUCUGAGAGGAUGAUCAGUCACACUGGAACUGAGACACGGUCCAGACUCCUACGGGAGGCAGCAGUGGGGAAUAUUGGACAAUGGGCGAAAGCCUGAUCCAGCCAUGCCGCGUGUGUGAAGAAGGUCUUCGGAUUGUAAAGCACUUUAAGUUGGGAGGAAGGGCAGUAAGUUAAUACCUUGCUGUUUUGACGUUACCAACAGAAUAAGCAUCGGCUAACUUCGUGCCAGCAGCCGCGGUAAUACGAAGGGUGCAAGCGUCAAUCGGAAUUACCGGGCGUAAAGCGCGCGUAGGUGGUUCAGCAAGUUGGAUGUGAAAUCCCCGGGCUCAACCUGGGAACUGCAUCCAAAACUACUGAGCUAGAGUACGGUAGAGGGUGGUGGAAUUUCCUGUGUAGCGGUGAAAUGCGUAGAUAUAGGAAGGAACACCAGUGGCGAAGGCGACCACCUGGACUGAUACUGACACUGAGGCGCGAAAGCGUGGGGAGCAAACAGGAUUAGAUACCCUGGUAGUCCACGCCGUAAACGAUGUCGACUAGCCGUUGGGAUCCUUGAGAUCUUAGUGGCGCAGCUAACGCGAUAAGUCGACCGCCUGGGGAGUACGGCCGCAAGGUUAAAACUCAAAUGAAUUGACGGGGGCCCGCACAAGCGGUGGAGCAUGUGGUUUAAAUCGAAGCAACGCGAAGAACCUUACCUGGCCUUGACAUGCUGAGAACUUUCCAGAGAUGGAUUGGUGCCUUCGGGAACUCAGACACAGGUGCUGCAUGGCUGUCGUCAGCUCGUGUCGUGAGAUGUUGGUUAAGUCCCGUAACGAGCGCAACCCUUGUCCUUAGUUACCAGCACCUCGGGUGGGCACUCUAAGGAGACUGCCGGUGACAAACCGGAGGAAGGUGGGGAUGACGCCAAGUCAUCAUGGCCCUUACGGCCAGGGCUACACACGUGCUACAAUGGUCGGUACAAAGGGUUGCCAAGCCGCGAGGUGGAGCUAAUCCCAUAAAACCGAUCGUAGUCCGGAUCGCAGUCUGCAACUCGACUGCGUGAAGUCGGAAUCGCUAGUAAUCGUGAAUCAGAAUGUCACGGUGAAUACGUUCCCGGGCCUUGUACACACCGCCCG